CGAACCCACACCGUCCGUCCACGCCCCUGCUUCUUUUCCGUUGCAUACCACUGGGGAACACAUACAGGUGUGUAUCGGUUCCUGCCCAACGCACCUGUCAGCACAUGUAGCUGCCUUCUCACCCCGCAGUCACGCUGUACUCCAUAGAUCAUCUGUGAGCCACAUUCAAUCACCGACACACACACACACACACACACACACACACACACACACACACACACACACACACACACACAGGACGCGCACGUGCACUGCAGUAUAGUCCCACGCUUCACUUCCCACUCAGUUUGCCGCUCCUCUGUUGUCGUUUUUUCGUCUAUCGUGCUCUCUUUACGUCUCCGAAAUUCUGAUAGUCGGCUAAAGUUGCCGGUUCUCUCUCUCGCUUGGUUUUCGCGUCUCCCGCGUCACUCAUCGGAGCGUCGCUUGUCUGCACAAGCCAGUGAAACGUCAACGCACAGCCUUUGCAGCUUUCUCGUAUCUCCUGAAAUAGACCUGUUCCCCUUCGUGCCUCUACACUUCCUCGUUUUUCCGACUCAUAGACCUAGCAGCCAUGGAGGCCCCAAGCACCCUCAACAGCUAUCUCUCCUUAGUCGAUGACUUCUUCCGCAAGACGUUCCGCGACGAGAUGUGCCUCUUCGUGGCCCUCAAAUCUCGGCAGUACUCGGAGUCUAUCCUUGGCGUGAACAUGUUCGCAAAGAAUGCGGCCGCCGUGUCUGCCGAUGCCCCGCCCGCUGCGGCGAUGGAGUCUGUCAGCAAGCUAGCAGCCGCGGACGAACUCCCCGCAACCGACAAACCUCCGACGUAUGUCAGCAAUUUUCUCUCUAUCUCUCCCCGAAUGGCGCUUCACCACGACGGCAGGGCGGAUGGCAAGAUGAAGGUCGCCUACGAGUUUUCCGUGCCACGCGUGUGCCGACUGCAGCAGGCGCUCACUCUGAAUAGCCGCGGCGCUGUCACCGUGGUGGGCAGCGUAAAGGACCUUAUUGAAGGCCUCACCGCCGGUGUGCGGGCGUCGGUGAAUACCCUCAUGCCAGCCUCCGAGGACUUGACCGUCGGUCACGUGCACUACCAACGCGGCGACAAGUAUUCGUCUCUCCGCUACCAACGCAAUGGCCUUGGAAGCAGCAACCUUCUGUUGGACUGCGGCAUCACCUUCUUCAACCUCCUCCUCGGUGCCGGGUUCGAGCGGCGGCAGCUGUCUUUCUUGGAGCACAAAGAGGGUUCUGGGCAACUGGAUGUCAUGUACGUCGGCGCCGGCUUCACGGGGGUGAACUGGUCUGUUGCCACCAAAAUAGUACGCUUGAACGACGCCUGGUCCAACGCGCGCCUGGCGGUGCUGCAACGGCUGUCGUCUACCACCGCUGUUGCUUGCCAGUACAACUUUGACCUUAUCGAUACCGUCGCUAAGGUGUCGCUCGGCUUCACCCAAGGGAUCCAGCUUCGUGUACCCAUGUUUAUCCACACCAAGAGCAGCACUCCGGUUUCCGCGAGCGCCUCUAGGGCACCGCCUUCGUCACCGUCCGCCCUGCAAGUGGACGGGUCGGCAGUGGCGAUGAUUCCUGCAUGGAGCACUCCUCUCCCCCUUCUACUAGCAGCCAAGGCUGAGAGUGAUGGCAACUGCUCAGCGACGCUGCGCGGGCUCUUUAGCAACUCCAUCCGCUGGGGCAUAGUGAUGCGCACGAACCUAUUAGAUGACAAGCCUCUGGUCAAGUACGGUCUCACCCUCUCGAUGGAGUACGAAUCGUAGUGUGAGCAUCUUCUCGGAUGCAGGUGCCGAAGCGCGUUUGGCCAGGCAAGCCCACCCACCGCGCUCGUUACAACAGCUGCGACAGAGACGUACACAGCAAUCUGCUUGUUUUUUUUUUCGUGUUGGUGGAACUGUUGGCGGUUUUCGUCAUGAUGCCCUUGCAAACCAACGCCCGCACACAAACAUUGAGUAAGAAUGAUGCGUUGAUAGUACAAAUAGAGUAACAGUGCGCCCGUUCUACUGCUUAUCGUUCUUGGGGACGAGUGAAGCGCCCAGCAUUGUCGUCGGAUUCGUGCAGCCUUUAAUCCUACGUACGUGGGAGCUUUUUUUUUUCGUAAGCCGCGCCGAAGUCAUCCGCCCUCCUCUCCCGCUCUCACAAAGCACUGUCAUGCAGGGCCACCGUGCAGUGGGCCCUCUGGAGGGUGGCGCACUGGGCAUUGGUGCACAUGGUGGGGCCGGGGGACUCCUCGACGCGCAGUGCAAACUCUUUCAUGCGCAACACCGCAGCCAGUCGCUCCUCUCUGCCGUACGCAUGCACCUGGAAGAGGACCGCCGCCGCCUCCCCCCCCUUCUUUCCGGCUCCUCGCCGCGGACCUUCAGCCGAUGCUUGGCAUUAGGCAACGCGCAGGAGAAGUUUUCGCAGCAGCCACGGCCCGACUUGCCGAUCUGAGGACGGGAUACCCGCACGAGUGAGGGGUCCGUGAAAGGGUUUUCACCGCUCUUGCUUCGUGGAACUGCCCGAAUCAGAGGGAUUGCACGGCGUCGCCGCAUGGCAGAUACCACAAACCAGGCAGACGACGGAGAGCUGCUGGAGAAGGGGGGACUCCUGCCCCUCAGCCGCGUAGCGCUGGUGCGCCACGUCCGCCUGCUGCCUCUCCGUAGCCAUGCGAGGGAGGCUACUCAGCGCAUACGGUGCAAGAAGUGAGCGUGCCGGAUUACGGUGUAGUCACAGCGCUUCGGCGGCUCUCAUGCGCGGGAGCACAGGCGUCGACACUUCUCGGAGCUGCGCAUGCACACAGACACCACACCAAGCACGAGCACACAUGACUGCGACCCGCUUGCUUGCCGCCAUCGAGCUGAAUGUGGACCAACUCAUCUGGUUCUCGGCCUGCUGCGAAGAGGGCUGCGUUCAGCACGACACAGAGAAGAGAAGGUGCAGUUUCUGCUCUUGCGGACGCGAUAUCGUUCCUCAUGGCGCUCGACACCGGCACCACACCGGUGGAGGAUGGCAUUCUGCCACGUGCCUAUGCCCAAAUGCCGGCACUAGGUGCCCGGCGCGGGCGUCGCUCCCUCUCGAUUGCUUGUUGCGAUGCUGGGUGGGAGCACAGCGGCGAAGCUAAAAAGCUUUCGAAACCAGCAACGUCAGAAGCGCUGACGUCGACAGCCGUCCCACACCGGAGGAGCACGGAUGCUGAGCUGACGAGGCGACCGGAGUCGACGCUCGACCAGCCCUGCACGGGCAUCCGUGGGCACUCUGGAUUCCUGCAGCGGCGGCUGACUGGCAGCGACAGCGUGGGGUUCAGGUGGUGUGCUGCCCACAGCUCGGCGAGAACUGCGGCACCCCCACGGCCGCCAGAGCGUCCGCCCCCGUCUCUGUGUGGUUGCAACGAGGGUGCUCGACCGUGGGGUGGUUGCUCGGUAUGCUACGCGGGCUUGGCAGGUCGCUGUAGGCUGAAAGCACACCUCGUUUCACGCUAUGAUGCUGCACGCCACGGCCUGAGGCGCCUUCCUGCUCGAGCUCACCCGGCAUGUACGCCGGCCACCCACCUCUUUCCUCCCCCUACCGUGUUACCCGCGGCACGGACACCCCCGCCACUGCCGUGGAGCAGGGCCCUGGACGCGGCCCGGUGCAACUGCAGCCGGCCCGCCCUCGACGACCAGGAUGUGGGCGUCGCGCGACAAUGGCCGGGUGAGCUGUGAUUAGGUGCGCGUAUAGUUGUGGACUUUGCACGGGGUGCAAGGAGCGGUCGAUAAGCGGAAAGUCAGUGCUGCCUUCGCCAUAUGUUCUUCUCUUGGUGCUGCUGUGAGAAGAAGUUGACUUGCCGGGGGUGUUCUCAUCUGGCUUGAUUGCUGGGCUACAGGAGACACGUGCGGCGUCGUUGGUGUGUUUUUUUUUUUGAGUUUUACAUGGAACGAUGUAUCGUCCGUCACCAGGAGCGGAAGCGUUUGAUGGGCUCGCUCUUGAGAUGACUGCGUUUUGGUGUGUGCGUGUGUGCGUGUGUGCGGGUCGUUCUAUGUCCCGUGCCGAGUUGCGGUUGUUCCUUUCGUAUGGGUAGCGAGCGUAUCAUGCCUUCUGUAAAGACAUCAAGGAACGGGGUGCGUGGCAGAGAAUGUGUUUCGUGUCAUGUUCUUAAAGCCGCAAAAGGGCCGGUCAUGUGCCACCCGCUAGUGAUUGGCAUCGUGCUCGCUUGUCUGCGAUGCGAGAAGCCCUGUGCCGGUUUCCUCUAGAGUUCUCCUACUCUCUCUUUCAGAUGCAGAUGAAGUAGGUGCUCCCGUGUCGCCUCCUUCUCCCCCACAUUCCCUCUAAUCUGCUUCUGACAAUGUGCCAUUGUGCGCUUCCUUCUCCUCCCCCCAUUCAUCCCCUUGUCCUGAUUGCGUGAGCGCUCAUGCAUCCGGGUAAG
Molecule: unclassified non-coding RNA, 4365 nt
Filed under: Leishmania donovani
Lineage: Eukaryota; Euglenozoa; Kinetoplastea; Trypanosomatida; Trypanosomatidae
Description: gene:LdHU3.34.4980(CDS-product:hypothetical_prote in_conserved)
Source: RNAcentral